This 21-nucleotide microRNA is filed under the name Citrus sinensis (sweet orange). RNAcentral describes it as "csi-miR160c-3p". Its record names the gene csi-miR160c-3p. Lineage: Eukaryota; Viridiplantae; Streptophyta; Magnoliopsida; Sapindales; Rutaceae. The record is from miRBase by way of RNAcentral.
GCGUGCGAGGAGCCAUGCAUG